This 1766-nucleotide long non-coding RNA is filed under the name Mytilus galloprovincialis (Mediterranean mussel). The record is from RNAcentral. Lineage: Eukaryota; Metazoa; Mollusca; Bivalvia; Mytilida; Mytilidae.
CGAAAAACAUUCUUUUACAAUUAAACCAAAUUUCAAACGAAGGUAAGUUAUAAUAUUCAUUAAUUUAUAAACAGAUUACUUUAAAAUAUACUAGAUGGUGUUCAUAAUUUGUUUUUCAGUUAAUGUUGUUACUAUUUUCACUGUAAAAAAGUUGUCGCUCUAGAUAUAGAAAUAUACCACAAGAUUGAACAGUAAUAAAGAUAAAAUCAUCAAUUUGUAUGCAAAUAAUUUAGGAUGUUUAAAUCGAUCUUCAAAAUAUGGUUAUGUAUGUUUAAGAACCUUUUCUGGUUGCCCCGAGAAACUGUUUCGCUUGAAUUUUGGUGUCAUACAACAAUCAAUUUUCGAUUGCAGCGUAAAACGUCGCUCGUAUGACGUCAAAGUUUUAUGGGAACUUUUGUGAUGUCCAGUAAUGGCGGACCAAUAGCGAUAAGGUGUAUGAAUGCGAUAAGCAGAAUAAAAAGAACUUAUCUACUACACGUUUCCAUUUUGUUUCCACAAAUAUACAUGUACUCAAUAGAAAUAAAAAGAUGUGGCAUGAGUGCCAAUGAGACAACUCUCCAUCCAAGUCACAGUGUGUAAAAAUAAAACAAAUAUAUGUCAAAAUAUGGCAUUCAGCAAGGAUCGAGUCUUGGCUCACACCGAACAGCAAUUUAUAUAGGGCACCAAAAUGACUAGUGUAAAAGAAUUCAAACUUAAGCUUACCUUUUAAGUCUUGCAUUAAUUGUUGUUAUAUGAGCACAAAGUGGAUCGCGAUUACCGUAGACUAGGCUUUAUUUGGUAAAGGAGCAAAGUUUCCAUUUGUUUCCACAAAGUAGACUCAUGCCUACCAUAGACUUGACCUGAUCUUAUAAUGUAGAUGCAACAUUUUGUGCCAGAUCCAUUGAGGAUUUUUAUAAGACAUAAAAACUUUUAACUUUAAAAAUUACAUUAUCGAAAGACUAUCCAUCUGAAUAUAAAGUUAUGUUUUUUUUCUCCGUUAUUUGGAGCAUUGAGGUAUAUCGUCGGUUUUAAGGGAAUUUCAUUACUUCAUAAACUUCAGAAAAAUUUAGAGCCUACCAUAUUUUAAAGACACCAGUAUAUAAAUAAAGACAAUGUGAUGUCUUUUCGAAAGUUUUUGUUUACUCUUGUCAUUUCGUUGCUGCCUCAUAACUUACAUGUUCGUUAAUGAUUAUGUAAAUCGAUAGAAUGUUACUCUUAAAAGCACUGUGAUAUACAUUUUAUUAUAAUCUUAGUCUGAUGUUUUGAUAUUCCAUAUAUUUGGUCUCCAAGUCCCUUUGGAUGUUAAUUAUACAAACACGUGUUUAUACAUGCAUGUUGGUCUUCAUUUAUUAGCUCCCACAACUUUAUGGUUUCUUUUGUAGUGUAUCGUUUCAUUGACAUUUUGAAAAUUAAAAAUUCUUUGACACUUUAUAAAUAACUAUUUAUUUUAUUUUUUUCACUUUAGAUGUCAUCAUGUAGCAUGUGUUACCUUGUCAUAUAUCUAGUUGUUCUCUUCAUUAACACUGGACAUGGGGCAUGUCACCACGAUCAGCGAGAGGACGUGUUCUGUGCCGAAAGCAACCAAAACUGCACUAUCAGUUUAGACCAAAUGAAUGUCGAAUGGGGAAAUUGUUUAAGUAUUGCUAUCGUCCAGGAUUGUAUCGAUGCACCACUAUGUCAGGGUAUCAUGCCGUGUAUACUUAACAUUACAGCAUUUGUAGCCCAGUUGGAUGCAUAGGAUACAUUUGUAAAUCAAUGAAAUGCAUUAUUAUUUAUUAAAUCUAAAA